RNAcentral lists this ribosomal RNA (83 nucleotides) under Bacteroidota bacterium. RNAcentral describes it as "Bacteroidetes bacterium partial 16S ribosomal RNA". It matches the Rfam family "Bacterial small subunit ribosomal RNA", at positions 1 to 80 of the family's 1533-position model. The record is from RNAcentral. Lineage: Bacteria; Pseudomonadati; Bacteroidota.
AUUACAAUGGAGAGUUUGAUCCUGGCUCAGGAUGAACGCUAGCGGCAGGCCUAACACAUGCAAGUCGAGGGGUAACAGGAGAG